UACGGGGGGGGCAAGCGUUGUUCGGAAUUACUGGGCGUAAAGCGUGCGCAGGCGGUUUUGUAAGUCUGUCGUGAAAGCCCCGGGCUCAACCUGGGAAUUGCGAUGGAGACUGCAAGGCUUGAAUCUGGCAGAGGGGGGUAGAAUUCCACGUGUAGCAGUGAAAUGCGUAGAGAUGUGGAGGAACACCGAUGGCGAAGGCAGCCCCCUGGGUCAAGAUUGGCGCUCAUGCACGAAAGCGUGGGGAGCAAACAGG
Molecule: ribosomal RNA, 253 nt
Filed under: uncultured bacterium
Lineage: Bacteria
Description: partial 16S ribosomal RNA
Rfam family: Bacterial small subunit ribosomal RNA
Source: RNAcentral